GUAAAAUGGACCAAUCAGCAGGAUGUGGGUGGGGCCAGAUAAGGGAAUAAAAGCAGGCCACCAGAGCCAGCAGCAGUAACCCGCUUGGAUCCAGGUUGACAGCACACGUCAGAAACAUUGAGAAGAGGAACAGACCCAAGCAUGAAUGAGGAUUCAUUUUCAUAUCUGGAUCUCCAAGCACUUCAGUUAAAGGUGAAGAGCCGCCUUCUCCCAGGUGUUGCAGUAGAUCAGGAGCUGCACUGUCAGAAGGGAUGGGCACCACGCGGAGACUGUCCACUCCCUGCAGUGCACAGCACGAUGAAGACUUACUGAAUUGCACCUAAACAUAUCAACAACCCACUGAUAAAGCUUGGACAUUUGUCCCCUUCAAACCUCGUGUUGAAAUUUCAUCGCCAAUGUUGGAGCCCAUCUUGGUGAAGACAGCCUGUCUGUCCACAGGGAGAACCAGGAGAAGCCCAAGUGGUCUUGACUCUGACUCGCUCCAGGCGUCUCCUGUUGAUCAAUGCCACAGUCCUCCUCCAGGUGCCCUACCUGCAGUUUGGCAGGCUCGAUUCUCUCUCUCUGGGAUCUCGUAUAUUCUCCUGACACUGACCUUCACAGGCUCCCACAGUGACUCCUGGCCACCACCGUCUGGCUCUCUGAGCCAUCUCCACUGGUCAGAGGCACCCCCCCAGCACCCACCCCAACCCUGUGUUAAAUCAAAGACCCCCACAGUGCUCUGUUUCUAACAAAGUUUCUUCUAGGAAAGCACUUCUUAGAUUUAUAAUUUUGUAUGUAAUAUUGUGAAGUCAGGAAGAAAAUGUGAAGAGUUCAAGCAUCUUUUCUGGAUCAUCCGAGGAAAACAGUUCAAGAUUUCCAAUAAUAGUAAAAACAUCAAACAGAUAUCUCAGAGGUUUCUAUGAACCAGACAAUGAAGAAUGGUAGAAUAAACCACUCCUGCCAACCCUUCAGCUAAGAAGUAGAAAAGCUGGACCAAAAAACCUGUUGGAAGACAUCAGACAGCUAACAAAGCAAAGAAACAUUGUAAGGCACAGAUCCAGGAAAAGAAAGAAACUCAGCCCAGCUUUUCUCCAGGGUCAAAUUCCAGAAGAAAAGGCUAAGAAACUGAGCAGGGCUUUAGAUUCACCCCUGUGAAGAGGACAAAUUAGAGUCUGCCAAGGAGGGAGUUUUUGGGAAAUCUGAAGAUUAUGGAGUAUGAGUGAACCAGAAAUAAAUAAUUCUGGCAAGGAUGACACCCAAUUUUAUCUCAAAUCCUGAUAGGGUAAAGAUAGCCUGGGAUUGCUAACACCUUCCAGAAAUAAAUGUAAGUCUUCUCUGAAAAAACAAUAUCCUAUAUCUCAAUUAUCUUUCCAAUUUUUCCUAUACCAUAUCUGGAAAACAAUGAAAAGUAACCAGGUUUAUGAGAAGACAAGAAAAAAAUAAGUGAUCAAAACCAAGGGAAACAACAGACAGAAAAAAUGAACCCAAAGAGGAUUCAGAUAAUGGAGAAAUCAGACAUAAAAUUUAAAAUAAUUAUUACUAAUACACUUAAGUAAUGAAAGACAAGAUGAAAAAUUUUGGCAAAGAACCUGAAAUUUUUUAAAAAUAGAAAUUAUAGAAAUGACCAAAUACAAUCAACACAAGGAAACAAUGGAUGUAUUUAAUCAUAGACACAGCUAAAGAGAAAAUUAGAUAACUUAUAGAGCAGAAGAAAAUCUCUAAACUGAAACACAGAGAAGGAAAAGGAAGAUAAAGGAAAAAGAAUAUAAGACAAGGUGAACAUAUCUAAGAUAUAAAUGGGUCCCCAGAAGAAGAGAAGAGAGAAAAUGUGGCAGAACUUCAGCAAAUACAGGACGUAUUUGAUUGCAUAGGAUCUCCAAAAAGUCUGAAAGCAUAGACAAUGUAUACAAUGUUUUCAAGGACAUUUAAUCCGUAAAAACCAAAAUAUAUCUUCAUUUUCAAGCCAAUGGAUACCCUAUAGAUUUAAGGCUAUCAACCACAAAAAGCAGUGGAAAUAAGAGCAAAAAAACAGUAUAUAAGUUAUAUCCUUUGACAAAGUAGAAAACCACUGGGAGAAAAACGAGAAUAAGUUCAUUGCCUGAUUUACAGGUAAAAAUAGGUGAUAAUAGGUGGGAAUCAAAACAUAUAAUUAAGAGUCACAAACCAACUCCUAGAAGCCUAAAUAAUAAAAGAGGGGAGGGCUGCGGACAUGAUAUGAGGGUAUAAAAUGUGUAAAUAUACAAUUAUAUAAAUAUUUAAGUAUAAAGGUAUCCACAAAGUUAUAUGAAAGUACUAUCUUUCCUAAAUACUAAAUGAAUAAGAAAACAAAAAGAACAAAUUAGAACAGACAACAUGGUAAAAGAGCUCAAGUACAUAGAAUGUAUUUUACGUGGUACAUAUACGUCGAAUAACAGGACAGAGCUGGAGCCAAACAUUUUGGUCGCAGUGUUACGUUAAAAGGGCUUAAUCCACUAAUUCUCUAGGAAAAGUAUUUUAAGACUAGCUCACAAAACAGAGGGCCAUUCUGUGCUGUAUAUAAGACAUGCCUAAAAGAAUACCAUUUUAAAAAGCUGAAAAUAGAAGGGACUAUGCAAACAGAAAGAAAGUGGGGGGAGGAGGAGGCAGAAUUCUGGCCAAAAAGCCUUAAAUUAGACAAAAAUGACUAUUCCUAAUCCUGAAAGCUACCAUUCAGAAUGAAGAUUACAAUUUGAAUAUUUAUGUUCCAAACGAGGUGACAGAGUUCAUAAUUAGAAACUACAGGAGAA
Molecule: long non-coding RNA, 2744 nt
Filed under: Homo sapiens (human)
Lineage: Eukaryota; Metazoa; Chordata; Mammalia; Primates; Hominidae
Description: HSALNT0309740
Source: RNAcentral